This 467-nucleotide ribosomal RNA is filed under the name uncultured bacterium. RNAcentral's name for it is "partial 16S ribosomal RNA". It matches the Rfam family "Bacterial small subunit ribosomal RNA", at positions 28 to 507 of the family's 1533-position model. The record is from RNAcentral.
GACGAACGCUGGCGGCGUGCUUAACACAUGCAAGUCGAACGGAAAGGCCCUGCUUUUGUGGGGUGCUCGAGUGGCGAACGGGUGAGUAACACGUGAGUAACCUGCCCUUGACUUUGGGAUAACUUCAGGCGACUGGGGCUAAUACCGGAUAGGAGCUCCUGCUGCAUGGGGGGGGUUGGAAAGUUUCGGCGGUUGGGAAUGGACUCGCGGCUUAUCAGCUUGUUGGUGGGGUAGUGGCCUACCACGGCUUUGACGGGUAGCCGGCCUGGGAGGGUGACCGGCCCCAUUGUGCCUCAGGUGCGGCCCGGGCGCAAUCGGGGGCCAGCGGUGGGGACUUUUGCCCACCGGGCGGAGGCUGGGUGGAGCAACGCCGCGUGGGGGAGCACGGCCUUCGGGUGGGAAACGCCUUUCGCUUGUACCGAACCGUGAUUGCCGUUACUGGAUAAAGAGGCCCCGCCAACCUCCUU